Molecule: long non-coding RNA, 248 nt
Filed under: Cucumis sativus (cucumber)
Lineage: Eukaryota; Viridiplantae; Streptophyta; Magnoliopsida; Cucurbitales; Cucurbitaceae
Description: long non-coding RNA (CSAT_LNC000977)
Source: RNAcentral
AAAACUACUGAAUUACUAGAAAGGAGACUGAGAAAGUAAACUCGACCACGAGGCGACCCGCUCCGUUAGGCGCAUAUUGCCAUUAGAGAAUUUGCGAAGAAGAAAAAUCAAGCUCCAGAUUGUUAAGGCGCCAUAAGACUGGUCCGAAGGACUAUCCAUUAGGGAAUUUGAGAAGCGCAUGAAAUUCAGAGGCUCAAUGUAAUAUGAGUUGAAUUGCGCCUCCGUCCGGAGUGCCAAAGAAAGGUCCA